GGAAUAGCGGGGCAGGCUGCCGGCCGGGGCUUUUUAAUAGCCGAAAAUAGAAUCAGAGCAUGUAUUUUGGGAGCAGGAGGCAGGAGGACGCGAACUCUAUUGAUUUUGCAAGUUUCCACUGUUCAUCUGAGCAGCCAGGAAGGAUUCACUUCUCCCACAUUCCUCAAGAACAUCUUGGUGCAUAAAGUGGUUUUGGGUGCGGGGAGAGAAGAUGGGGAAAUUCACCUCUUGGGCUCUGAACGAAGACGGCACGCAGAUGGACAGAAUGCAGUGGACUGGUGCUACCAGUUGUUUUAAAGUCUCACGGAAGCCCUUCUCACACUGAAGCUCACUACCAGACUCAGGACCAGAAAGGUAUUUUCCUUCAGGUUAGAUUGGCCUGUAGUGUUUCUCCUUCCCUUACUUAAUAGCCUGAGGCAACUGCAACUUCCCAAGAUCAUCUGUAAAUUCUACCAAACAAGUUCUCUGCUUCUGCAAGAAGCUAGAAAGUUGUCAAUGACAACAGCACGUGAGACGCUUUCCAUAAUGUGCUGGGACAUGUGCAGCAGUAAUCAAUGGAGCCUGCUGGACUUAGCAUCUAGUGCAUGAUUAUCCUGGUGAUACAGAACCAAUUUUUCCUGAGACCAAUGAAGAGGAUACUAACUUGAUGAUACUUUUCUGUUAUUCCUUAGCAGACAAUGAGUAAGUUUAAGAAGAAAAAAAGUCCAUCUUCUUCUUUUCCCAAUAUAUUUGGCUGGGCGACCCCAGAUAACGCCUCAGAUAAAUUGAGCGUAUCAAGGCACUGAGCGUGUUCAGAUCACCGGACACUGGGACAACACAUACUAUAUAAAGCACUGAUGCAAAGUCAGGACCUAAAAAAGUAGAGAUCAUAGGAUAGUUCAGGUUGGAAAUGACCUGAGGAAGCCUCUAGGCCAACCUCCUGAUCAAAGCAAGGCUGGCUAUGAGGUCAGACCACUUUGCUCAGGGGUUUAUCCAGACUUGUCUUGAAAACCUCCAAGGAUAGAGACUGUACAACCUCUCUGGGCAACCUGUUCCAAUGCUUGACUGUCCUCACGGUAUAAAAGUUCUUCUCUAUGUCCACUAACAUUUAAGUUACUGGGAAUGAAGUUUUAUUUAAGAUUUCUUAAGCUACUGUCCUACCUUCAGCCACUUCCCUCUAAGUACCUUGCAGAGAGCUGAAAUCUUGAUCCUCCAGAGACUUACAAAUCUAUGUAACAUUUGUGAGCAAUUCCAUAAAACUCUUUGAGAUUGCUCGUAAGUAUAUACGAGUGCAAACGUCUUGAAAGACACGGGCUUA
Molecule: long non-coding RNA, 1297 nt
Filed under: Struthio camelus australis
Lineage: Eukaryota; Metazoa; Chordata; Aves; Struthioniformes; Struthionidae
Description: lncRNA (ENSSCUG00000013703.1)
Source: RNAcentral